Molecule: non-coding RNA, 183 nt
Filed under: Hahella chejuensis
Lineage: Bacteria; Pseudomonadati; Pseudomonadota; Gammaproteobacteria; Oceanospirillales; Hahellaceae
Also listed under: 7 other names
Description: 6S RNA
Rfam family: 6S / SsrS RNA
About the family: E. coli 6S RNA was the first non coding RNA to be sequenced, but its function was unknown until recently. It consists of 184 nucleotides that fold into an extended hairpin structure with a large single-stranded internal bulge. The 6S RNA specifically associates with RNA polymerase holoenzyme containing the sigma70 specificity factor.
Source: RNAcentral
AGCUCCCUGAACUGCUCGCCAGUCAGAUACGUCCUCGAGCCGAUGAAUUUUAUUAUUGGUUACCUCCUGCGAGUGAUGUGUGCAAGUCCCUCUUGAAGGGAAAGCCUAAUUCAUUCCAGCGGUUACCUCCUUGAACCAAAGGGUUCAAGGGCCACGUCAGACAGCGGCUGUCUCGGGGAGUUU